RNAcentral lists this ribosomal RNA (250 nucleotides) under uncultured bacterium. RNAcentral describes it as "partial 16S ribosomal RNA". It matches the Rfam family "Bacterial small subunit ribosomal RNA", at positions 355 to 602 of the family's 1533-position model. The record is from RNAcentral.
GGAUGAAUAUUGGUCAAUGGGCGAGAGCCUGAACCAGCCAAGUCGCGUGAAGGAAGACGGUUCUAUGGAUUGUAAACUUCUUUUGUAAGGGAAUAAAGUUCACUACGUGUAGUGUUUUGUAUGUACUUUACGAAUAAGGAUCGGCUAACUCCGUGCCAGCAGCCGCGGUAAUACGGAGGAUCCAAGCGUUAUCCGGAUUUAUUGGGUUUAAAGGGUGUGUAGGCGGACCCAUAAGUCAGUGGUGAAAGUU